UCUGGGCCUGGGGGCAGUUCCCUUCCUUGGUUACAACAGAUUCUUACCCCGCCGUGCCCUACAGCCCGCCCCGCGAGGAACGGGCCCAGGAGUGGACGGGUGGAUAGGCAUUCCGGUGUCUCGAGUCGGGGCCAGCCUGAGCAGCACCACUCGCGUGGGGCACACAGGGCAUACAAGGCAGGCACCAGGCUCCAGAACAGCAGCUGACAAGUCUUCCGGCGGCGUCGGGUCUCCAUGGGGACGGGGGCGGGGCCAGGCGGCCGUGAUGGGGUUGGGGCGGGGCUUUUCAACUGUAAACGGCCCCGCCCAGCCUGGGCAAAGAGACAUAGCCUGGCCUGGAAGACCGAGUCAGGGACCCCCAGGCAGAGGCUGACCCCUGCUGGCGGCCGGGGCCUCCUGCCUCCAGGUGCUGCUGCCCCUACACGGACGGGCGCCCUCUGCGGGUCCCGCGACUCCCCGCUCAGCGCCUCCAGAUGCCUCACCCGGGCCCACUCCGCUGGGUCCCCAGGGACCUUAAAGCGCUGGCCCAGCAGCGGGGUCACUCCCAUAAGCCUCCCGACCCUCCCAUGGGUCCUUUGGAGCCCUGGAUUGUGAAGCUGAUACUUCCUCAGGGCCGCGCGCCCGGACGCGGCUGCUCCAGGACCACAGCUGACUGAGUGCGGCCGCGUCCCCUGCAGGCCACCCGUCAAGGGCACAGGCCACAGGAGCCCCAAGGCGCAGUGGCUCACCCUGCCCGGAGCUGACCCUUGAGGUGGGGAGAGGGCACUAACUCGGGUCCUCUCCCCUUCCUCAAGGCUCCUUCCUCCCCUGGGGUGAAGGGCUCCCAAUCCCAGCACUUUGGGGCCGUCCUGUUUAAUUCAUGCCCACAAAUGAUCAUGCAGUAUGCUGGGACAGAGAAGACAGGCACGCUGGCCUCCGAGGGCUCUCGAUGUGCGAUGUUCUUUCGGUGGCAGUACUGCAGUGCCUACAGAAUCUGCCUGAACGUGGUCCAGGCCUCCUCCUCCUCGAUGUGGCCAUGGUGGCAUAUCUGGUGGUGCAGCUCUCCUCCUCCAGUGUACUCCACUGCCAAAUGGACAGUGUUUGCUGUGUCAGUCACCUGGUAGAGUUGAAUGAUGUGCAGGUGAUUGAGGGUCUUCAUGAUACUUCUCUCUCUCUGGAGAGUGAUGCUGGGGCAGCCAUGCUUCUUAGAGAUGAUUUUGAUGGCCACCUGGGUCCCAGUUAGCAUAUGCUGGGCCAGUUUGAGGUCACUGAAUGUGCCCCAACUGAUGGUCUCAAAAAUCUGUACUUUUGGAUCUCCUCAUCAGGUGAGUUUGAGGCCAAGCCCAGCUCCACAGUGCCUCCUAACUAUGCUGACUACAAAUCAACCUCUACCAACUCUUCUAACUAAUGAGAAACACUAAUUAUACUUCCUAGGUUGACAAUACUAACAAACCACACUAAUUAUACUAAAUACACUAGUAAUACUAUAAUAACUGUGCUAAAGUACUAAGCAAUGAUACUGAAUAUACUAACUACACUAAAAUACUAAGCAACUAAACGGACUAUAAACACUACACGAGAAUACUAAGCAAUGAUACUGACUUACCGACUAUGCUAAAACACUAAGCAAUCAUAUUGACUAUACAAACUAUGCUAAAAUACUAAAAACCAUACUGACUAUGCUAAAAGACUAAGUAACAAUACCUACUGUACCGACUAUAAUCAAAGAUGCUGAUGUUACAGACAAAGAAACUAAGGAACAAUAUUGACUACACUACACUAACAGUACUACACGAUGAUACUGAGUGUGCUGACUACUACAAAAUACUAAGCAACAAUAUAGACUAUAGUGAUCACAAUAAAAUACUAAGCAACCAUAUCAACGAUACUGACUACACUAAAAUAUUGAGCAACCAUAAAAACUUUGAUAAAAUACUAAGCAACCAUGCUGAUUAUGUCAAGUACACUAACAAAACUAGGCAAUAAUAAUGACUAUUAUAACUAUGCUGUAAUACAAGGAAAUAAUACUGACUAUAAUAACUAUUCUAAA
RNAcentral lists this long non-coding RNA (2029 nucleotides) under Macaca fascicularis (crab-eating macaque). Its description in RNAcentral is "lncRNA (ENSMFAG00000050596.1)". The record is from RNAcentral. Lineage: Eukaryota; Metazoa; Chordata; Mammalia; Primates; Cercopithecidae.